GCAUUUGUAGUCCAACGGUUAGGAUAAUUGUCUUCCAAGCAAUUGACCCGGGUUCGACUCCCCGCAAAUGCA
Transfer RNA from Ipomoea nil (Japanese morning glory), 72 nucleotides. It matches the Rfam family "tRNA". From Rfam's summary of the family: Transfer RNA (tRNA) molecules are approximately 80 nucleotides in length. Their secondary structure includes four short double-helical elements and three loops (D, anti-codon, and T loops). The record is from Rfam. Lineage: Eukaryota; Viridiplantae; Streptophyta; Magnoliopsida; Solanales; Convolvulaceae.